UCAGGUGGCCGCAGAGAAUAGGCCCAAGCGACUGUUUACCAAAAACAUAGGUUUCUGCUAAGUCGCAAGACGAUGUAUAGGAGCUGACGCCUGCCCGGUGCUGGAAGGUUAAGGGGAUCUGUUAGAGCAAUCGAAGCAGUGAACUUAAGCCCCAGUAAACGGCGGCCGUAACUAUAACGGUCCUAAGGUAGCGAAAUUCCUGGUCGGGUAAGUUCCGACCCGCACGAAAGGCGUAACGAUUUGGGCACUGUCUCAACAACAGACUCGGUGAAAUUGUAAUUCCGGUGAAGAUGCCGGAUACCUGCGACAGGACGGAAAGACCCCAUGGAGCUUUACUGUAGCUUGACAUUGGGUCUUGGUACUACAUGUACAGGAUAGGU
This 380-nucleotide ribosomal RNA is filed under the name Clostridioides difficile. RNAcentral's name for it is "bacterial LSU rRNA". It matches the Rfam family "Bacterial large subunit ribosomal RNA", at positions 1769 to 2148 of the family's 2925-position model. Lineage: Bacteria; Bacillati; Bacillota; Clostridia; Peptostreptococcales; Peptostreptococcaceae. The record is from RNAcentral.